UUGACACGAGCGGACCUCACCUGUGAACCCUCCUGUGAACCCUCCUGUGAACCCAAACCUGUGAAGGAAACUCUGAGACUUUUGCACUGCUUGAGUCUUUUUGUUGGAAACAAAACUUGUUGUCUUACAGAACUACACGAGAUCCGGACUACGAGAGACCGAGAGCCGAGGACGAGCCCCUGCUGAAGCGACCGGGCUGUGAUUUGGACCAUAAGUGACUGACUUCCUCCCGAGAAGCCUGAGAAUGGAGGACCACCUGUACGCACGGGGCGACGCCAGAGCUGUUGGCGACUUCGUUGGAGCUGCGCCGCCACCCCCCCCUCCCAGCCCCCCGGCGGCAGCCAUCGGCAUCGACUACGGAGGUAAGAAAUCAGAGCAAUG
Molecule: long non-coding RNA, 381 nt
Organism: Pseudoliparis swirei
Lineage: Eukaryota; Metazoa; Chordata; Actinopteri; Perciformes; Liparidae
Exons: 3
Source: RefSeq, a predicted model, not a curated record